RNAcentral lists this transfer RNA (91 nucleotides) under SAR86 cluster bacterium. RNAcentral's name for it is "tRNA-Ser". It matches the Rfam family "tRNA". Rfam says of the family: Transfer RNA (tRNA) molecules are approximately 80 nucleotides in length. The record is from RNAcentral. Lineage: Bacteria; Pseudomonadati; Pseudomonadota; Gammaproteobacteria.
GGAGGGGUGGCAGAGCGGUUGAAUGCACUGGUCUUGAAAACCAGCGAGGGUGAAUAGCCCUCCGAGAGUUCGAAUCUCUCCUCCUCCGCCA